Molecule: long non-coding RNA, 231 nt
Filed under: Gallus gallus (chicken)
Lineage: Eukaryota; Metazoa; Chordata; Aves; Galliformes; Phasianidae
Source: RNAcentral
CGACCCCCUGAGCUCCAGGCCUGGAGGGCAGCUUGGACAGUCCCUGCUGUCCCACGUGAGCAGGAGAUGGCUGGACGAUAGACGCUGCAUUCUGGACAACCGGAGUCUUCUGUACCACGUUCUCCUUCUGCAGCUGGCUCUGCCUCAGCUUCUUCAGCAGCACCAGCCUGGCCUCCUCCAGCCGCAGCUCGUCCCGGAGCUGCUUGAUGAGCUGCUGCCGCUCCUCUAUGC